AAUUUUACCUGGCUGGGGAGACAUCAUGAUCAGAAAGGUGAUUUUCCCAUGAUGAGGAUCACCCAUUGCACUCAAGUUGUACUGACCCCUGCGAUUUCCCCAAAUGUGGGAAACUUAACUGCAUAAUUUGUGAUAGUGAGGGACUGCAUCCAUGCUCUACCCUG
This is a small nuclear RNA of Acomys russatus (golden spiny mouse), 164 nucleotides long. RefSeq annotates it as U1 spliceosomal RNA. NCBI's taxonomy places the organism in Eukaryota, Metazoa, Chordata, Mammalia, Rodentia, Muridae. The record is from RefSeq and is a predicted model, not a curated record. The transcript has a single exon.